This 681-nucleotide long non-coding RNA is filed under the name Monodelphis domestica (gray short-tailed opossum). Its description in RNAcentral is "lncRNA (ENSMODG00000045909.1)". The record is from RNAcentral. Lineage: Eukaryota; Metazoa; Chordata; Mammalia; Didelphimorphia; Didelphidae.
CAGCCUAAAUUAGCCCUGAUAAAGUGGAGAUUAAGGAUCUGGAGGGGCCCUCUAAAGCCAUCUGGUUCAAGCUCAUCCGCUGCUGUCUGACUGCCCUAAAGCCCUUAUACUUUCGUUUUUGUUGCUUUGACUUCUGGAUCAAUCUCAGUCUGGGUGACUUCACUCUACCUAUUGACUACUGGAUCUGUGACGUUCAGGAUCAGUGGUUUCUAGACAGUAUUCCUGAAAGAACCAACUCAUGAUGGAAUUUGAACUAUUUCUCCCUUGAGGUUGCUUAGAGGAAACUCUUUCCUCUGAAAAGAAAUCUGUUGAGAAUGAUUGCUCUCACACUGUUUGCAAAUCGAAACUGUGAAAGGUAAAGAAGGAUGUUGAAAGGAUUAUGCUGGAAGCAGGUAGGUUUUUUUUUUUACUUUCUGUGUAUUAUUUGAAUUCUGGAAAUUAAGUUGUUUGUAGUCCUUUCCUCUCCACUGAGAGAGAAGAGGGUGUGGAUGUAGCAGGAUGAAAAACUAGAUGGUCAAAAAUAUAUUUGUUCAUUUUAUCCCCUACUGCCACCCCCUCUCCUGGGCUUGUUAGUCCUGUCUUCUCUCAUCUCCAGUUGGUGCCUUGUUUGAUUUUUCUAUUUUCUUACAUGAUUUCUUCGAGUGAGCAGGUAAUCUAAAUACAUAACACUCAUCACAUACU